CUCACCUCUCUUCUCAAGCUCAAAGCUUGGUCAUCUUGAAAACUCAAAUUCAAAACCCUAAUUUCUAGUCCAUUAGAUCCAUUUUUUGGGCCAAGAUGGUGACUUGCCGGUGGAUCUUGGCGAGCCCGAGGCCGUGCUCGGGUCGGCGAAUCUCGACGAGAAAGCGGGUGAGGGUCAAUUCUUUCGUCAACAGCGUUAACAAUAUUCGAAGGCGGGAGAUCUGCUUGAAACCCUGCCGUUCUUUUAAUUUCAUCAAUAACCAUGAGAAAUUCCAGCACAUUGGACUGCAGGUCUUGUAUCAUAUGAAGUCUGGAUUUGAUCCCCAGAAUGUUAACGAGAAAGUUCAGAUAUGAAGCCGUCCCUUGCGAGCAACAGGACUAGAAUUUUUGAUUGUGGAAUUUUCGUUCCCUUAUAUAUGAAGGCUAUAAUCCAUGGGGUUGAUACGAAUCAAGUAACUACUCCCGAUGUUGAGUCUGAUGUCAUCUGUGUCAGGCUAGUAGCUGAACUUCUAAUAGAAGAAUGACAACAGAAGAAUCAAGCAGAGACAUUUGAUAAGAAUGGGAGAAAGUUGUUCUAAAAAAUGAUUGGUUGAACCAAAACUUGUGUGCAUGUCUGUAUUGUGUAUAUUAGUUUAGUUGUGUAAAUAGUUGUUGUGGAUGACAAACAAUGCAGCAAGCUUGACGUUUA
Molecule: long non-coding RNA, 687 nt
Organism: Asparagus officinalis (garden asparagus)
Lineage: Eukaryota; Viridiplantae; Streptophyta; Magnoliopsida; Asparagales; Asparagaceae
Exons: 3
Source: RefSeq, a predicted model, not a curated record